RNAcentral lists this ribosomal RNA (400 nucleotides) under uncultured bacterium. Its description in RNAcentral is "partial 16S ribosomal RNA". It matches the Rfam family "Bacterial small subunit ribosomal RNA", at positions 355 to 747 of the family's 1533-position model. The record is from RNAcentral.
UGGGGAAUAUUGGACAAUGGGCGCAAGCCUGAUCCAGCAAUGCCGCGUGUGCGAAGAAGGCCUUCGGGUUGUAAAGCACUUUCAGUGGGGAAGAAAUUUUUAGAACUAAUAUUUCUAAAAUUUGACGUUACCCAAAGAAGAAGCACCGGCAAACUCUGUGCCAGCAGCCGCGGUAAUACAGAGGGUGCAAGCGUUAAUCGGAAUUACUGGGCGUAAAGAGCAUGUAGGCUGAUAUUUAAGUCGAUUGUGAAAUCCCCGAGCUUAACUUGGGAACUGCAUUCGAUACUGGAUAUCUCGAGUAUGGUAGAGGAAAGUGGAAUUCUCGGUGUAGCGGUGAAAUGCGUAGAUAUCGGGAGGAACACCAGUGGCGAAGGCGGCUUUCUGGACCAAUACUGACGCU